Molecule: transfer RNA, 75 nt
Filed under: Methylobacterium cerastii
Lineage: Bacteria; Pseudomonadati; Pseudomonadota; Alphaproteobacteria; Hyphomicrobiales; Methylobacteriaceae
Also listed under: 5 other names
Description: tRNA-Glu
Rfam family: tRNA
About the family: Transfer RNA (tRNA) molecules are approximately 80 nucleotides in length. Their secondary structure includes four short double-helical elements and three loops (D, anti-codon, and T loops).
Source: RNAcentral
GCGCCCUUCGUCUAUCGGUUAGGAUGUCAGCCUUUCACGCUGAAGAGGCGGGUUCGACUCCCGCAGGGCGCGCCA